RNAcentral lists this long non-coding RNA (350 nucleotides) under Capsella rubella. RNAcentral's name for it is "long non-coding RNA (CRUB_LNC004467)". The record is from RNAcentral. Lineage: Eukaryota; Viridiplantae; Streptophyta; Magnoliopsida; Brassicales; Brassicaceae.
CACGAAUAUAGAUACAGUCUGGAAUUGGCUGUAGCAAUUGAGUUUCUUCCGACAGUCAAACGACAAAUCUACACUCCUCUUCUUCAUAAUGAUAAUUUUUCAUAUUUUUUUUUGUUUUUGUUGUCAACUAUAACUUUUUUUUUUUUUGGUUAAUAGUUUUAGUACUAAAAUAAUAUUCAAAUAUCGUUGAAACAACUGAUUAAUCAGAUAGGUGAACAUGCUUCUUAGCCAAUAAUUUCAUGCAAGAUCAUCAUGGACACAACACAACAUUCAAACUAAAGUUCAAAAAUGAUCAAAUGACCGACGUGUAAUGUUUUGCACCUAUAUAUUGUCGUAAAGCUAUAAUGAGA